CCUACGGGGGGCUGCAGUGAGGAAUAUUGGUCAAUGGACGCAAGUCUGAACCAGCCAAGUAGCGUGCAGGAUGACGGCCCUCCGGGUUGUAAACUGCUUUUAGUUGGGAAUAAAAGGGGGCCCGUGGGCCCCGUUUUGUAUGUACCAUCAGAAAAGGGCCCGGCUAUUUCCGUGCCAGAAGCCGCGGUAAUACGGAAGGACCGGGCGUUAUCCGGAUGUUUGGGGUUUAAAGGGAGCGUAGGCGGGCUUUUAAGUCAGCUGUGAAAGUCCGCGGCUCAACCGUGGAAUUGCAGUUGAAACUGGAGGCCUUGAGUGCACACAGGGAUGCCGGAAUUCAUGGUGUAGCGGUGAAAUGCUUAGAUAUCAUGAAGAACUCCGAUCGCGAAGGCAAGUGUCCGGGGUGCAACUGACGCUGAGGCUCGAAAGUGCGGGUAUCAAACAGGAUUAGAUACCCCGGUAGUC
Molecule: ribosomal RNA, 462 nt
Filed under: uncultured bacterium
Lineage: Bacteria
Description: partial 16S ribosomal RNA
Rfam family: Bacterial small subunit ribosomal RNA
Source: RNAcentral